CAGUGGUGUAGUCUACGUGAUACGCAGGUAUACGCCGUAUACCCACUAGAAAAGGUGACAAAUUUCCACUAAAAUAGUGAUUAAAAUAUGCAUAAA
This is a long non-coding RNA of Melanotaenia boesemani (Boeseman's rainbowfish), 96 nucleotides long. RefSeq lists it as uncharacterized. The transcript is spliced from 4 exons. The record is from RefSeq and is a predicted model, not a curated record. Lineage: Eukaryota; Metazoa; Chordata; Actinopteri; Atheriniformes; Melanotaeniidae.